This 3654-nucleotide long non-coding RNA is filed under the name Marmota monax (woodchuck). Lineage: Eukaryota; Metazoa; Chordata; Mammalia; Rodentia; Sciuridae. The record is from RNAcentral.
GUUUGUCCCUUAGUGAAGGAUCUCUAUCCUUUCAUAUAUGUAUUCCAUAUAUAUGUAUCCCCUUAUUUUCUUUGACAAGGUAUAGGACUCAACUCUGCUUGUCUGCUUCCUAUUCUUUAGAACAGUUCUUGUGACCUGAGAGUGAAGAAGCACCUGGUGCCAAUCUGAGGAAAGGAUCUUCGCUGCCAGUUCUAAUACCACCCACAUCCUCUUCUUGAGGACAUGGGACUGAGCAGUGAGCAAUGUAACUGAAGAUCAAGGGGAAUGCGGAGGUUUCAGGCCAUCACACUGAUUUUGAUUUCCCCAUAUCCUGUUGAUCACUAAAUUUGAUAUCAGGAAUAGAGUGGGGUUUUGAAGAGUGCACUGGAUUCCCAAAGAUCUACUGGCAGCUCAUAGCUCUGGUCUGCUCACAGAGCUUUUAGAAUUGUUUAUAGUGCACAAAAAGAAUACUAAUAUGAUUGCAGUCUUCUAAAACAAGUCUAGUUACAUGGAUAAGUAAGAGAGAACAAACAGUAGAUUUCAGGCACCUCAGAUCAAUGGUAUAUACUUUAAAAAAAAAAAAAAACCUGCUUGAGAUCCAUUGCCUAGGCUAGAUCAUAGGGAAAUUUGUAGGUGGGAGCAAGGGUGGCAACAGAUCUUGGCAAACAAACUUCUGCAGAGGGAAAGAAAAACAAUAAAACAAAUUUCUUAGAACAUAUCAUCUUCAGUGGAGGUCUUCUAGUCUAGAGAAUGACUUCAUGGUUGGUUUCCAUUUUGACAAUAAUUUUCCCACUUCAUACCACCACCUAGUGAUCUUGCCUACCUCUGACGCCUUGAUCCUUAAGUCUUCUUUCAUUCAUUUUACUCUCUUCAUCUUUUUAUCUUUUCCUUUGCUUCUACUUUGCCUACUCCAGAUCUCCUCCCAUCCUGCUUGUGCUUUUCCAUUUGUGCUCUUCCAUAAGGGAAGAACCAUCAUUUAUCCAGUAACACAUCUUCAUUUUCCUAGAUGUUAAAUUCUUAAGUGUUUUUAUUGAUGCCUUUAGAGGUUGCCAACCCUCUAGUGAAAUUGGAAAACCUAUUGUGAUACUACAGUUAAAAAGGAUUGUGUACUAGGGAUAGAAAAAAUCACUGUGUACUUAUCAUUUAUAUUAUGUAAAAUUAUAUAUGGGAAACCUUAAAUUUCUUGAAAAAACAAAAAGCAUUUCCAAAUCAUGUACCUUCAAGAAAGCUUAACCAGGUUUGGGACAACAGAAGGGUCCUGGAAUAAGAAAUAUAUUCUUAGGGAGGAAAAUAACCAAAUCUCACAUUAGGCAUAUAGAGAAUAACAAUUAGCAUUAGGCAAUGAAGGCAUUUCAAGAUUAUACAUGUUUAGGACAAUAUAUAUAUAUAUAUUCAUAUUAAAAUAGCAAAGAGCUUCAUUUUCUUUUUGAGAUUUUUCCCUCACUUUAAAAAAAAAAUUUGUCUAUGAGAAUUUCUCCAAAGGUUUCCUAGAAACCAUGAGGUUUAUAGCCAACAUAAACCCAUAUGCAGUUUUUUGUGCUGUGAUAAAAUUUCAGAAUUUGUCAAAUUUGUUUACUCUGAUUUUAUCGCCCUCACUCUGUUUAUCCUUCUCUGUGUGAGCCUUUAUGUGACAACACUGCAUGUGUUUUGUGAUGCUUCCCUUCACUGGCUGCAAUCUUGUGGCCAUAGUUACUAUGACCCUUUAGAAUGUCUGGGCUCAGUGCAACUUGAAUGCCUAUCUCAGUGGCUAUUUCUGCUUUCACCUCCCAAUUAAACCAGAUCCUUCUUUUGCUUUAUACAAAGUAUUUGUUCCUAUCUUUCUGCUCCCAGCUUUUACCCACACUUUGCUUUUACCCUUACCUAUCCCUUCUCUUCCAAGCACUUUUCUUCCAUUACCUGAGGGUAUCUCAGUGUGUUCUCAAACACCUGCCAACUAGACUUCAUUCUUCUUGUUUUUACUCCAUAGCACUAAAUGAGGAUUAUCUGUUUCAGUCUAUUUAUACUAAAGGAAUGUAGAAGUAACUCAAAUAUAAAAAAGAAGAAGUGAUAGGAACAUUUAAUAAAACCAAAAUACAUAGCAAAUACAUAUGUCUCAUUUUUAAAUAAUAUGUGACAGGCAAAAUUCUAACAAAUGUUUUUUUUUAUUAAGAGGAAAGUUCAUAUAAUGAUGAAGUUUCCUAGGAAUUGAAAAUAAGAUUGUUGGGGUGGGGUAAUAGAUAUAUUAACACCAGGAAGUGAUGAAAGUAUGUUAUAUUAAGUCAGUUUUGCACUUGGAUCUGACAUAAUUUUCUUAUAUACAUAUAUGAAUAUUCCACAGUGAAUCUCACCAUCAUGUACAUCCACUAGUCUAGGGUCAUAAUUAGAAUAAGAUAUAUUCCAUGCUUGUAUAAUUAUAUCAAAAUGGAUUCUACUGUCAUGUAUAACUAAAAAGAGCCAAUAAAAUAAAAAAUAAAUUCUAAAUUUAUUGCAUAAAAGUUAUUAUAUAAAGAAGAACUUUAAAUUAUAACUAAAAACUCUUCCCUUUUCUUAAAUCGUUCUGAUUUCUUCUCUUUUUUCCCUACCUUUUAACUUAACUUUCCUUUUUUCCCCCCUAUCCUUUAAGAUGAUGUUUCUCAAAACAUUGCCUUUGACAGCCUAUAUCAAAAUCACCUAGUUUGUGAAAAAUAUAUAAUCUCUGGCUUCAUCUAAACUUAUUGAAUGAGAAUCCUUGAUGGUGAUAAACAUCCAAUGUUUUAAAAAUUGAGUGAUUAAGUUAUAUACAAGGACCACUACUUGAAAGGACAUAUUACAUUAGAUUAUGUCUUCAGCUUCUCAAAGCUGCUUUGACAAAUAUAUUCCAUUCUGUAGAUCUAGGCUGCUACUUCUUAGUAAAGGACUCCAAGCUCCUUUUAUUUUCUGACUGCUUUCCCACAGUCCCAACUGUUUAUAUUAGUAAGCCCAUCUGGUACUAUAAGAGAGUAGUCUUCAUUAUUAAAAUAAGAUCUAAACUCUCCAAAUGCUCAGUGAAGAAGACCUAAGGGAGCUGUAUCUUUAGGUGGAGAAAAUGGCAAAAGUAAUACCAACUGUCUUUUUCUCUGUUUCACUGUCCCUUUUGAGGUUUUUUCCAUUUUUGUCAUCAAAGCUGCUACCUUCUUGUCCCCCCUCCCCACUUUAAAUCUCAGAAACACUAUACUACUAUAAUGGUUAAAUGCAUGGAUUUAAGUAUUUGCUCUGCCAUUUACUAGCAAUAGAAUUUGGAGGUAAGUUAGUUUAUUUCUAUAAAUCUAAAGUUUCUAUAAAACAGGAAUUAAAUAAUAUGAAUUAGGAUUUUGAUUUUGGAAUUAAAUAAGUAGCACAUUUUAAACAUUUAUUAUAGGUCCUAGCAAUUAAAAAGUGAUCAAUUAAUGUUAGCUAUUAUUUGUAAUAAAAGCAAGGAGAGAUUUUGCAUCCUUUAUAUAUAUUGGAUAGAGCCAGAUACUGUGGCACACAACUGUAACCCCAGUUACUCAGGAGGCUGAAGCAGAAGGAUAGAAUGCCUGAGAUCAGCCUAGGCAAUGACCUUCUCCCAAAGUAAAAUUUUAGAAAAAGAGCUAGGGACAUAUCUUAAUGGUAGAGUGUUUGCCUAGCAUGCGUGAGGUCCUGGGUUCAGUCCCACUAUUGAAAAAAAAAAAAGAUAAAAGAUAAAUUAAAAUUUUC